Stegodyphus dumicola is the source of this 254-nucleotide long non-coding RNA. The record is from RefSeq and is a predicted model, not a curated record. Lineage: Eukaryota; Metazoa; Arthropoda; Arachnida; Araneae; Eresidae.
UAACAUUCUCUCCACUGGUAGUGCAGUUAGUUGUUUAGUGCUUAUGUAGUGUUUUUGAGUAGGGCUUAUUUUGUAAUUCUCCUUAAUUGCUGUAUUUUUAAGAGUGCAUUUAGAUAAGUUUUUAAUGCUUUGUUUUUGCAGUUGGAGUUCAAUAAUCAAGACUCCUCAAACAUUCAUGCUAGCUGCAGAAGAUACACCAAUGAUAUAGAUGACAAAUUCCGUCCUCGCACUGUAACUUUGGUUAAAGAUAAAAA